Molecule: transfer RNA, 74 nt
Filed under: Elusimicrobiota bacterium
Lineage: Bacteria; Pseudomonadati; Elusimicrobiota
Description: Elusimicrobia bacterium (groundwater metagenome) tRNA-Glu
Rfam family: tRNA
About the family: Transfer RNA (tRNA) molecules are approximately 80 nucleotides in length. Their secondary structure includes four short double-helical elements and three loops (D, anti-codon, and T loops).
Source: RNAcentral
GGCGCGUUCGUCUAGCGGCCUAGGACGCUGCCCUCUCAAGGCAGAGACCAUGGGUUCAAAUCCCAUACGCGCCA